Molecule: non-coding RNA, 83 nt
Organism: Triticum aestivum (bread wheat)
Lineage: Eukaryota; Viridiplantae; Streptophyta; Magnoliopsida; Poales; Poaceae
Source: Rfam
GAUCCUCAGGGGACAUCUGAUAAAACUGGAAUGAUAUAAGAUUAGCAUGUCCCCUAUGCAAGGAUGACACGCACAAAUAUUUU